Molecule: ribosomal RNA, 457 nt
Filed under: uncultured bacterium
Lineage: Bacteria
Description: bacterial SSU rRNA
Rfam family: Bacterial small subunit ribosomal RNA
Source: RNAcentral
UGAACGCUGGCGGCGUGCCUAACACAUGCAAGUCGAACGAUGAUAGAGAGCUUGCUCUCUUGAUUAGUGGCGCACGGGUGAGUAUACCAUAGAUAAUGUACCUCUUAGUUCGGGAUAGCCACUGGAAACGGUGAUUAAUACCGGAUACUCCUUCUUACUCUAAGGUAAGUCGGGAAAGUUUUUUCGCUAAGAGAUCAGUCUAUGUCCUAUCAGCUAGUUGGUGAGGUAAUGGCUCACCAAGGCUAUGACGGGUAUCUGGUUUGAGAGGAUGAUCAGACACACUGGAACUGAGACACGGUCCAGACUCCUACGGGAGGCAGCAGUGAGGAAUAUUGCACAAUGGAGGAAACUCUGAUGCAGCAACGCCGCGUGGAGGAUGACGCAUUUCGGUGUGUAAACUCCUUUUAAGAGGGAAGAUAAUGACGGUACCUGAGGAGGAAGCCACGGCUAACUACGU